This 377-nucleotide ribosomal RNA is filed under the name uncultured bacterium. RNAcentral's name for it is "bacterial SSU rRNA". It matches the Rfam family "Bacterial small subunit ribosomal RNA", at positions 521 to 896 of the family's 1533-position model. The record is from RNAcentral.
UAAUACGGAGGGUGCGAGCGUUGUCCGGAAUCACUGGGCGUAAAGGGCGCGUAGGUGGCGAAGCAAGUCAACGGUGAAAGCUCGACGCUCAACGUCGAGUCGGCCGUCGAUACUGCAUCGCUCGAGCACUGUAGAGGCAGAUGGAAUUCCGGGUGUAGCGGUGGAAUGCGUAGAGAUCCGGAAGAACACCGGUGGCGAAGGCGGUCUGCUGGGCAGUAGCUGACACUGAGGCGCGACAGCGUGGGGAGCAAACAGGAUUAGAUACCCUGGUAGUCCACGCCGUAAACGAUGGGCACUAGGUGCUUGGGGGAGCGACCCCCUGAGUGCCGCCGCUAACGCAUUAAGUGCCCCGCCUGGGGAGUACGGCCGCAAGGCUG